This 493-nucleotide ribosomal RNA is filed under the name uncultured bacterium. Its description in RNAcentral is "bacterial SSU rRNA". It matches the Rfam family "Bacterial small subunit ribosomal RNA", at positions 28 to 507 of the family's 1533-position model. The record is from RNAcentral.
GACGAACGCUGGCGGCGUGCUUAAUACAUGCAAGUCGAGCGAGGCCUUGGAAUUGGAGUCCUUCGGGAUGAAGAGUCCUUGGCCUAGCGGCGGACGGGUGAGUAACGCGUGGGCAACCUACCCCAAAGUCCGGGAUAACAGUGGGAAACCGCUGCUAAUACCGGAUGGCUUUACCUGAGGGCAUCCUCGGGUAAAGAAAGGUUACGCUUUGGGAUGGGCCCGCGUCCCAUUAGCUAGUUGGUGAGGUAACGGCUCACCAAGGCGACGAUGGGUAGCCGGCCUGAGAGGGUGAACGGCCACACUGGGACUGAGACACGGCCCAGACUCCUACGGGAGGCAGCAGUAGGGAAUAUUGCGCAAUGGGCGAAAGCCUGACGCAGCAACGCCGCGUGAGGGAUGACGGCCUUCGGGUUGUAAACCUCUGUUGAGUGGGAAAAAGGGUAGACAAUACUUUGUAUGGUACCAUUCGAGUAAGGCACCGGCUAACUACGUG